AGUGUGAGAGAGAGAAAGGGAGAGAGAGUGAGUGUGAGAGAAGAAGAAAGGGAGAGAGAGUGAGUGUGAGAGAGGAGAGAGAGAGAGAGAGAGAGCGCUCUGUGUAAGAAAGAAGAAUAAAAAUAAGUUUUUCUGUCAUUUCUGCGCCCAGAGAGCGACCCCGGACUGUACAUGUACUGUAUAUUUAGUAGUUUUGAGGACUACACGUGUCUUUUAACUUAGGAGUCGCACUACAUCAGCGCUGUCUGUAAACUGAAAUGUUUCUCCAAAAUACAACAAAAGUGUGUUUUAUUAACAUUAAA
This is a long non-coding RNA of Ictalurus punctatus (channel catfish), 302 nucleotides long. The record is from Ensembl. NCBI's taxonomy places the organism in Eukaryota, Metazoa, Chordata, Actinopteri, Siluriformes, Ictaluridae.